Amphiprion ocellaris (clown anemonefish) is the source of this 2982-nucleotide long non-coding RNA. RefSeq lists it as uncharacterized. The record is from RefSeq and is a predicted model, not a curated record. The transcript is spliced from 8 exons. NCBI's taxonomy places the organism in Eukaryota, Metazoa, Chordata, Actinopteri, Pomacentridae.
AUUACUACUUUUGUCAGAUUCAAAUUAUUUCUGUGACCAUUGUGGGUUUUCCUUUCAUUAACUGAGGGGGACCAACUAUUUUGUCCAUGUGUGUAUUUACAGAUCUCUAUUUACAGGUACUGUAGUAUUUUGAUUUUUAUCUUUUACAACAAACCUUGGCGUGACACGCUGCUGUUAUCCACAGUCCUCUGGCCCCAGCUGCAUGAUGGGAGGUAAAGGACACACACACACACACACACACACACACACACACACACACACACACACACACACACACACACACACACACACACACUCAGAGAGAAAGAGAGAGAGAGUAUAAAUGUCAGACUGGUUGUGUGACUUUAGUCAGCUGCUGCCCCCUGCUGCUCAAAGCUCAGACUGCAGCUACACACUCCUGUUUUCAGUGUGUGUGUGUGUGUGUGUGUGUGUGUGUGUGUGUGUGUGGUCAGUCUAAAGGUGAACUCACCUGUCCAGAGAGGAGGUGGAGCUCUGACUGUCCCGCAGCUCGAGGUUUUGGGAUGGGGGGAGGAGCCAUCUGGGGGAGAGGCGGAGCCUGUUAGUGAUCAAUUACCAAUCAGAAGGCGUCAUCGUCUCCUAGCAACCAAAGAUCUUCCAUCGAUCUGAUUGGACGCUGCUGACUGAAGGAUCGUUCUGAUCAAUUCAUGAUCAAUAACUGAUGUCAGCGGGAAGGAAGGAAGAACCACGCUGACUCACAACACGACAAUACAACACAACACAUGAACAAUAAUACAACACAAACACACAAACAACACAAGCAAACAAAACACAACACAAAUGACAAACAACACAACCGAAAACAACACAAAUAACAAUUCAAAACAAAACAAAUACAAAUAAGACGACAAAUAAAAACAACACAAACACCAGAAACAAACAACAACACAAACAACUGUCAGCUCCUGAUGAAGAAACUAGCACACCUGUUGGUACCAGAGUCACCUCCUCCAGUUAUUUUAUCUUUCUUAUUUUUUCCUGUCAGACCUCCUCCUCACCUUUAGCUGUCUCACGUUUUCCAUUUGUAGCUGUUUUUCAGAUCCUUUGACUGAAUUUCUCUUUGUUCUCUCUGUCUUUCCCUCCAUUGACCCUUAUAUUUACCUACAGCCCCCUCCCCACCCUCUGAUCCACCCUCUGACAUCCCUAUAAAUUGUGUAACUCUCCAGAUGUUCUGAUCUUUUUACCUUCACAGACUCAUGCUCUGUGUUGUUCAGCCCACCGUAAACCAGAAAACCACUAAACACCCCACUACAGCAGGCAGACUAGCAAGGACUAAUUUCUUCAACACUAUGAUGCCGUGACCCGAAGGCAGCAUACUUCAGAGGAGACUCUUCCCAGACCAAGGACACACCAGUGGACUCAUUCCAGACUGUACUGAGAACUCUGUUGCCUCCAGCCUCACUGACGACAUCACCAAGAUCUAUUCCAAUCAGAAAAAAGCUGUCCAGUCUUUUCCCAGUGAGCCUGCACCAUGAUAACCAGCUAGGAGACUGGAACCUCAUCAGAGAGUUCCAUCACAAGACAUCCUGAACUCCUGCUGGUCUGAACCACACAACAUCCGUCUCACCACCAACACAGCUUCCAGUGUGAAAGGACACACUGGACCACAGAGGACUUCAAGAGGACAGCUUCCCCACCUCCACCAGAGAUCAGCAGGAGGACUCCUCACCACAGCUUUGUCAACAGAGGAGCAGCGUGGACACCCAGAGGAGAGGAGCAAUGUCCAUACUGGAGUUCCAGUUCCAGAUACCCACACAUAACUGUCCCACUAGCACCUUCGGGCCUCCAUACAGAACUCCUCAUCACUGCUUCUGCUCCUCCACCGUGCUGCUGCUCGACUCUCACCUGGAAAGCUGAGAAGCACCUGUUUGGAUUUCAGGAGUUUUCCAGCAGCUUUCCAGAGCUGUGAUUCAUUUCCAGGAAGAACUUGGAGCCUUAAAAUGACUUCUUUCAGUUCCCACUUUAUUAUUGUUUAAUAUUACCAUUAUUAUUAUUAUUUAUUUAUUGUCAUAAUUUCACUUAUUAUGACAACCUGCCCUGAAUUCUGCAUCUGUGUUUUCUUGUCGGAUCAUAAAUCGGUUAAAUCAGGUUUGUUCCUUUUCUGCUGCUGCAGUCGCAUUAAUCCCAGCAGCAGCAGCAGCAGCUUCUAGUAAAGCAUGUGCUGCAGAGGCUGCUUUCCUUUAAACCACGUGGGUCUGAAUGAACUGUUUACCCCUGAACCUCCCUUCCUGCAGCUACUGACAGCUGCUGUGACAUCACGGUGCUGCUCUCUGAUUGGCUGUUGACAUAAACUUUAUCAGGAAGAGGAGGAAGUCCAGAAGAGACGCUGAGAGUUGAAGGAGGCUGCAGGACCGAACAGACAGCUGGACACAGUCCGGUUCCUGCAGCCCAGAGGGUCUAACCCAGGUGGGAUUCUGAGGAAUGAUGAAGCUGGUCAGCGAGGAAAUUCUCCUAGCUGCUCACUGCCUUCAUCCAGACCUGUGUCCUCUGAUAAUUAAUCUGAGUAGUGGUUAAAUUAAUUACCAGUCACGUCUGUUAACGGCAGCUUUCCUCUUAACAAGUCUGGCACUUGGAAACCAACCUGAAGAUCCAGAUUCUCAGCAAGGAAGGGUCCAGCUGCUGCCAGAAAGCCAGGAAGUACUCAGCAGUCCUUCAGUAGCUGGAUCCACUCUGCACAAACAGAAAAAGUUUUGGCAAAGAAAAACCAUUAAAUGAGAAGCUGCUGUUUCCUGUAUAUCCGGAGCCAUGGGGAUCGCACACAGCAUCCACAACAGGACGCCCUACACCUGGUACUACCGCAACAUGACGUCCGACGACAGCGACAGGACGCUGCCAGGUGGCAGCUCCUGUGAGUGCACAGCCGCAAAGAUAGAGACUGACAAGGUGAGGCUGAAGUAUGGAAACCACAGCGACUGGGACCUCAGAUAUAGAGUGAACAGAUAUAGGUAAUCAGACAUAUUGAUC